Molecule: ribosomal RNA, 478 nt
Filed under: uncultured archaeon
Lineage: Archaea
Description: bacterial SSU rRNA
Rfam family: Archaeal small subunit ribosomal RNA
Source: RNAcentral
UGUGACGGGGUUACCCAAAGUGUUCAAUUUUGAACUGUGGUAGGUGAGUAAUGUUCCCUACUAGAAAGGAGAGGGCAAGGCUGGUGCCAGCCGCCGCGGUAAAACCAGCUCUUCAAGUGGUCGGGAUAAUUAUUGGGCUUAAAGUGUCCGUAGCCGGUUUAGUAAGUUCCUGGUAAAAUCGGGUAGCUUAACUAUCUAUAUGCUAGGAAUACUACUAUACUAGAGGGCGGGAGAGGUCUGAGGUACUACAGAGGUAGGGGUGAAAUCUUAUAAUCCUUGUUGGACCACCAGUGGCGAAGGCGUCAGACUGGAACGCGCCUGACGGUGAGGGACGAAAGCCAGGGGAGCGAACCGGAUUAGAUACCCGGGUAGUCCUGGCCGUAAACGAUGCAUACUAGGUGAUGGCACGGCCAUGAGCCGUGUCAGUGCCGUAGGGAAACCGUUAAGUGUGCCGCCUGGAAGUACGGUCGCAAGGCUA